Molecule: ribosomal RNA, 540 nt
Filed under: uncultured fungus
Lineage: Eukaryota; Fungi
Description: eukaryotic LSU rRNA
Rfam family: 5.8S ribosomal RNA (bases 182-335)
Source: RNAcentral
CGUAACAAGGUUUCCGUAGGUGAACCUGCGGAAGGAUCAUUACCUAGAGUUGUAGGCUUUGCCUGCUAUCUCUUACCCAUGUCUUUUGAGUACCUUCGUUUCCUCGGCGGGUCCGCCCGCCGAUUGGACAAUUUAAACCAUUUGCAGUUGCAAUCAGCGUCUGAAAAAACUUAAUAGUUACAACUUUCAACAACGGAUCUCUUGGUUCUGGCAUCGAUGAAGAACGCAGCGAAAUGCGAUAAGUAGUGUGAAUUGCAGAAUUCAGUGAAUCAUCGAAUCUUUGAACGCACAUUGCGCCCCUUGGUAUUCCAUGGGGCAUGCCUGUUCGAGCGUCAUUUGUACCUUCAAGCUCUGCUUGGUGUUGGGUGUUUGUCUCGCCUCUGCGUGUAGACUCGCCUUAAAACAAUUGGCAGCCGGCGUAUUGAUUUCGGAGCGCAGUACAUCUCGCGCUUUGCACUCAUAACGACGACGUCCAAAAGUACAUUUUUACACUCUUGACCUCGGAUCAGGUAGGGAUACCCGCUGAACUUAAGCAUAUCA